GGAAAAUGCUGACAGAUGGCAGAUCUGCUGAUUCCUCUCACAACGAAGCAGGUUGCUCAGCCAGAGCUGGAAGCCAGAUAUUAAUGCAUUUUUCAUUUACGAAAGCCAAUAAGAUUUUAUGGCUGCAAGGGGUAAUGUUUCUAGCUGCUGUAAGACAGUGGACAAUUUAUUCAAAUAUUAAAUGAAAUUACUAAAGUUAAAGAAGCAGUUCAAGAAAAUCAGAAUGAAAAUAAAUCCACAGUACAACAUUUAAAGAAAGUUCAUGUAAAAAAAAUCAUUAAAGAAUAGAAUAGAGGCUUUUCAAUUACAUGCUAGAGGGAGUCUUUGUAGUAGAUACAUUUCACAUGUACAUAAAAAUAUAUGUAAAUAUAUUAAUAUGCAUCAAUAUAUAUGUAAUGAACAAUACAAUUCAUAUGUCUAUGUAAAUAUACACAUAAUAUAUACAUAUCAUAUAUUACAUAUUACAUAUAUAUUCAUAAUACAUACACUUAUGUAUAUAUACAUAUAUUAUGUAUAUAUUACAUACCCCCCCCACACACACACACCAUGCAUACAGUUUUAAUUAGAUGUAAGAAGUGUUUCUAGGUCAGGUAUCAGAUGUAAUUUUUACUUUUUUUUUAAUUUUUGUUUCUGUUUUGUUUUUAAUUCAUUUUUUUUUUCUUUUGAUGGCCACACCUGAAGCAUAUGGAAGUUCUCAGGAUAGGUGUGGAAUUAGAGCUACAGCUGCCCCAGCUAACAGGAACACCGGAUCCUUAACCUUCUGAGCGAGGCCAAGGAUCAAACCCAUGUCCUCAUGGAUCUUAGUUGGGUUCAUUAACCUCUGAGCCACGAAGGGAACUCCUAAUUUUUACAUUUUGAGUCAUAAAUACUGUGCUGGUUAUUAGCUAUGGUCUCUGGUCUAACACCAGCCUUCUGUACUCAGCUUUGUGAUCCUGGGGCUGGAACUCUGCAAACCACUUUUCUGCUUGGCCAGCUGUUUCCCAGGUAAACUCCAAUAGAAGCUUUUUAGAGGCGGACUAGGAGGCUAAAGACUCCUUCUUUCCUGGGCUUCUCCAACCCUUUCUCAGAGCAGCAGCAGCAGCAGCAGCGCCCUCCACUGACAGCAUUUGAGGUCAGCUUGCAGUUUUUCUGACACCGCAGGACCAAUCUCAAAGCAGCUCCCUUUGCACCGCAGCUCAGAGGUCAGAGUCCCAGACUCUCGGUUGCCUUCUCCAAAUUCAGAGAUGCCAGCAGGAGUUCAGCGAGCAGAAAGCCCUUCCCUGAAGUCUGCAUCACGGCAGGCUUCUAGGUUCAGUAAUUCUCACCUCUCCCAUCUGCGUGUCCAGAUGUAGGUGUCAGAGCUGCUUCUUACAAUUGCUUCUUCCAAGAUAACUUCUCUUUCUGCCCUUUCAGUUGCCAAGUUAAUAGUCCUCCACCAAACUAUUAUAUUAAAAAUAUUUCCUCUCUGUUAAAAUAAACCAAUAUAACCUCUCUCCUGCCUGGACUGUGAUCCACAUAUUAUACAGAAAACUCAGAAAUUUCAUAGCAUAUUAGUUCAAGGGAAGGUUGGAAAAGGCAGUUCUCUUAGUGUAUACAUAGAAAAUGAAACUUUUUGCAAGCUCAACGGUUAUCUGAGAUGGCCCGGCUAUUUUAUGAAUGAUGAUGGGGUGAGGGGUGGUCUGCAUGACUCCGCGAGGGCUGCACAGACACAAAUACAGACGACAGCACGUUCAGAGAAGCCGCAGGCAUUGCCGAACCUCUGACCUGCCGCUGGGUCCUCCGCUGACACCUCCGAGAGCAUUUUUACCUCGAAUUCUAUCGAAGGUAGACUUGAGGCCAAGUCAUCUUGCCGCUUAUACCUCCUCGUCUUCGCUGCUGUUACCCAUUCUAUUAUCCUCUUCAGGUCACCUAUUUUUUUUUUCCACCUUAAUUCUUCUUUCUCGAAACACUCUAUGAUUCAUUUCCCAGGAUCCAACCUCACUGUACACUGCUCGCCUUAAUCUUUUGAUUGUGACCUCUGCAAAGUUCACUACAUGAUAAACAAAAUAUAUCUUUUGUCUGUGCACAGUGUUCACUAUACCUUCUUGCCUUUAAAAAAAAGUCUCAUCCCCAAGGAUGCCCCUGCAUGCAGGUCUCUAAACGUGGCGGUCCUCAGAGUCCAACACCUUAGUCUAGAAGCUUCCCAGGGUCCCCAGUUCUAGACUAGCUCACUUCCUGUGCGCUCCCAUAUCCUUUUAUACAUAACUGUGUAGCCCACACGCCUUCAAAUUUGGGGCAGUUUUGUAUUUUCCUUGUUUCUAAAAGCUACUUCCAGACAACUCCAGGUACUCACAGUCAGGCAUUGCGGGUCAAUCCUGUCUGGUCUGCACGGCCUUCCCCUGACCCCUCAGUGACUCCUCGCGCUCUGUCUCCCACAACCCCGGCACUGUUUGUGCCACCACUCGCCCUGCUCCAAUUCACUGGUCAGUCUUUCCCGAGUCAAUACUUUCCUCCGAAAGUGUGUGAUUCUUCCUGUCACGUGGAUGCGAGCAGUUCUUCAGUGGCUCUUUAGUGUCAGCUCCAGCCUCUAAACCUUCAUCUAUCUUUCAGUCUCCAUAUCUCACCAAGUCCACCUGCAUAACUGAUGUGGAAGUCUAGUUCCAAGACCAUUUAAACUUCCGAAGUUAAAGAGUAUUUUGAUUUGCACUUCCUAAGUUAAAGGCACAGCUCCUUGACUUCGAGCAACCGCAAAUGUUCCUCCCAUUAUCAUGAAGGUCCUCCCUCCACUAUUGCACUGGUCAUGUUCAUUUAAUAGUCAGCCUUGACCCUUAGCAACACUUUGCUGUUUCCCCAACUCUGUUUCAGGCAACUUCCCCGAAUCCCUAUACACUGUUGGGUAAUAUUAUUGCAUGAUUUAGCAUUCUGUUUUAAUUGUUUUGCCAAACUGUAACUGUUUUAUGGAUAAGAGUCUUGCCCAUAUAUACAACUUCAGAAUCCAGGAGCCAGUAAUAUACUAAUAAAAGUGCAAAAAAUGAAGAAUGUUCAAAAUAAGUAUACGAAUUUGGCUAUUUCAAGUACAUAUCCAAGAAUUAGGGUAAGUGUCUUCAUAUGAAUUUAAAAAAAGCUAUGAAGACUACCCAUAUUUUUAUUUAUAUAAUUUCACAUUCAGUCACUGGCAUUAGGUAACAAAUACCCAAAGGCUGUGAAGGAAAAUACAGGUAAUUACGAAACACAUGAAGUGAUCCUCAGCCGCAUUUAUUUAUUUAAAGUCCGCGGCAGUGUUUUUUUACCUAUUGUAAUGGCAACGUUCAAAGAGUUAGAGUAAAUGUUAGAGACCAAAAGAGUUCCCACUGUGCAUCAGUGGUCAACGAAUCCGACUGGCACCCAUGAGGAUGCAGGUUUGCUCCCCGGCCUGGCUCAGCAGGUUAAGGAUCUGGCAUUGCUGUGAGUUGUGGUGUAGGUUGCAGAUGCAGCUUGGACGCGACUUUGCUGUAGCUGUGACAUUGGUGAGUGGCUACAGUUCUGAUUUGACCCCUAGCCUGGAAACCUCCAUGUGCCAUGGG
This 3521-nucleotide long non-coding RNA is filed under the name Sus scrofa (pig). RNAcentral's name for it is "lncRNA (ENSSSCG00000063484.1)". The record is from RNAcentral. Lineage: Eukaryota; Metazoa; Chordata; Mammalia; Artiodactyla; Suidae.